This 425-nucleotide ribosomal RNA is filed under the name uncultured bacterium. Its description in RNAcentral is "bacterial SSU rRNA". It matches the Rfam family "Bacterial small subunit ribosomal RNA", at positions 356 to 773 of the family's 1533-position model. The record is from RNAcentral.
GGGGAAUCUUCCGCAAUGGGCGAAAGCCUGACGGAGCAACGCCGCGUGAGUGAAGAAGGUCUUCGGAUCGUAAAGCUCUGUUGUCGGGGACGAAUGUUGAGAUCUAGAAUAUAGAUUUCAAAUGACGGUACCUGACGAGGAAGCCACGGCUAACUACGUGCCAGCAGCCGCGGUAAUACGUAGGUGGCGAGCGUUGUCCGGAAUUAUUGGGCGUAAAGGGAGCGCAGGCGGGAAGGUAAGUCUAUCUUAAAAGUGCGGGGCUCAACCCCGUGAGGGGAUAGAAACUAUCAUUCUUGAGUGCAGGAGAGGAAAGCGGAAUUCCUAGUGUAGCGGUGAAAUGCGUAGAUAUUAGGAGGAACACCAGUGGCGAAGGCGGCUUUCUGGACUGUAACUGACGCUGAGGCAUGAAAGCGUGGGGAGUAAAC